GUGUCAGCAGCCGCGGUAAUACGAAGGGUGCAAGCGUUAAUCGGAAUUACUGGGCGUAAAGCGUGCGUAGGCGGUUUCUUAAGUCUGCUGUGAAAGCCCCGGGCUCAACCUGGGAAUGGCGGUGGAUACUGAGAAGCUGGAGUACGGUAGAGGAAGGUGGAAUUCCCGGUGUAGCGGUGAAAUGCGUAGAGAUCGGGAGGAACAUCAGUGGCGAAGGCGGCCUUCUGGACCAGUACUGACGCUGAGGCACGAAAGCGUGGGGAGCAAACAGGAUUAGAUACCCCUGUAGUCC
Molecule: ribosomal RNA, 292 nt
Filed under: uncultured bacterium
Lineage: Bacteria
Description: partial 16S ribosomal RNA
Rfam family: Bacterial small subunit ribosomal RNA
Source: RNAcentral